RNAcentral lists this ribosomal RNA (301 nucleotides) under uncultured bacterium. RNAcentral describes it as "partial 16S ribosomal RNA". It matches the Rfam family "Bacterial small subunit ribosomal RNA", at positions 509 to 807 of the family's 1533-position model. The record is from RNAcentral.
CAGCAGCCGCGGGAAUACGAAGGGUGCAAGCGUUAAUCGGAAUUACUGGGCGUAAAGCGUGCGUAGGCGGUUUGUUAAGUCUGUUGUGAAAUCCCCGGGCUCAACCUGGGAAUGGCAAUGGAUACUGGCAAGCUAGAGUGUGUCAGAGGAUGGUGGAAUUCCCGGUGUAGCGGUGAAAUGCGUAGAGAUCGGGAGGAACAUCAGUGGCGAAGGCGGCCAUCUGGGACAACACUGACGCUGAGGCACGAAAGCGUGGGGAGCAAACAGGAUUAGAUACCCCAGUAGUCCCUGUCUCUUAUAC